CCUACGGGUGGCAGCAGUGGGGAAUCUUGGACAAUGGGCGAGAGCCUGAACGAGCAACGUCGCGUGAAGGAUGAAUGCCCUACGAGCUGUAAACUUCUUUUAUAAAGGAAUAAAGUGAUGAACGUAUGCCUUUUUGUAUGUACUUUAUGUAUAAGGAUCGGCUAACUCAGUGCCAGCAGCCGCGGUAAUACGGAGGAUUCGAGCGUUAUCCGGAUUUAUUGGGUUUAAAGGGAACGUAGAUGGGUGUUUAAGUUAGUUGUGAAAGUUUGCGGCUCAACCGUAAAAUUGCACUUGAUACUGGCAGCCUUGAGUACAGUUGAGGUGGGCGGAAGUCGUGGUGUAGCGGUGAAAUGCUUAGAUAUCACGAAGAACUCCGAUUGCGAAGGCAGCCUACUAAUCUGCCACUGACAUUGAUGCUCGAAAGUGUGGGUAGCAAACAGGAUUAGAUACCCCUGUAGUC
RNAcentral lists this ribosomal RNA (460 nucleotides) under uncultured bacterium. RNAcentral describes it as "partial 16S ribosomal RNA". It matches the Rfam family "Bacterial small subunit ribosomal RNA", at positions 338 to 795 of the family's 1533-position model. The record is from RNAcentral.